AAACGGGUUCAGGCCCAAAACAGAUAAUAAAAAUAACAGAAAAACUGGCCCAGGUCCAUGCAAAUGGUGCUUAGCGCUCAAAUACCGCUCAACGGUAGGUGUGGCACUCAAAAUCACCCCCAGCAGUGCUCAAGCAUCAAAACAGUGAAAAACUGGUCCCAAAGCUGGCGCUCAAUGCCCAGUUCACCGCUCAGCGCUACCUUUUCUGCACCCUGUUUGACUUUUCU
Molecule: long non-coding RNA, 227 nt
Filed under: Vigna radiata
Lineage: Eukaryota; Viridiplantae; Streptophyta; Magnoliopsida; Fabales; Fabaceae
Description: long non-coding RNA (VRAD_LNC017417)
Source: RNAcentral